Molecule: ribosomal RNA, 844 nt
Filed under: uncultured bacterium
Lineage: Bacteria
Description: bacterial SSU rRNA
Rfam family: Bacterial small subunit ribosomal RNA
Source: RNAcentral
GAAUUCGCCCUUAGAGUUUGAUCCUGGCUCAGGACGAACGCUGGCGGCGCGCCUAACACAUGCAAGUCGAACGGAGCUGAGAGGAGCUUGCUUUUCUUAGCUUAGUGGCGAACGGGUGAGUAACGCGUGAGUAACCUGCCCUGGAGUGGGGGACAACAGUUGGAAACGACUGCUAAUACCGCAUAAGCCCACGGCCCGGCAUCGGGCUGCGGGAAAAGGAUUUAUUCGCUUCAGGAUGGACUCGCGUCCAAUUAGCUAGUUGGUGAGGUAACGGCCCACCAAGGCGACGAUUGGUAGCCGGACUGAGAGGUUGAACGGCCACAUUGGGACUGAGACACGGCCCAGACUCCUACGGGAGGCAGCAGUGGGGGAUAUCGCACAAUGGGGGAAACCCUGAUGCAGCGACGCCGCGUGGAGGAAGAAGGUUUUCGGAUUGUAAACUCCUGUCGUUAGGGACGAUAAUGACGGUACCUAACAAGAAAGCACCGGCUAACUACGUGCCAGCAGCCGCGGUAAAACGUAGGGUGCAAGCGUUGUCCGGAAUUACUGGGUGUAAAGGGAGCGCAGGCGGACCGGCAAGUUGGAAGUGAAAACUAUGGGCUCAACCCAUAAAUUGCUUUCAAAACUGCUGGCCUUGAGUAGUGCAGAGGUAGGUGGAAUUCCCGGUGUAGCGGUGGAAUGCGUAGAUAUCGGGAGGAACACCAGUGGCGAAGGCGACCUACUGGGCACCAACUGACGCUGAGGCUCGAAAGCAUGGGUAGCAAACAGGAUUAGAUACCCUGGUAGUCCAUGCCGUAAACGAUGAUUACUAGGUGUUGGAAGGAUGACCCCUUCAGUGCCGCAG